UGUUUGAUACUGGUAAUAAUAGAAAACAUUAUUAUACAUUCAAAAAUGUUUGUUCCAUGUCAUACACCAAGCCAGUGUGUGUGUGUGUAGAAACAUGCACACAAUUGCACAUUACUUUAUCGAUACUAGAAGUAAGAAGUAAGUCGAUAUACUAGAAGUAAGUCGAUAGGUAAAAGAUCUUCUUCCAAACUCCAAAAACCGUAGAGAGACAGACCAUUAAAAUCACCACAUUCAUUCA
This 238-nucleotide long non-coding RNA is filed under the name Physcomitrium patens. RNAcentral describes it as "long non-coding RNA (PPAT_LNC003631)". The record is from RNAcentral. Lineage: Eukaryota; Viridiplantae; Streptophyta; Bryopsida; Funariales; Funariaceae.